RNAcentral lists this ribosomal RNA (450 nucleotides) under uncultured Glomeromycotina. RNAcentral describes it as "SSU rRNA". It matches the Rfam family "Eukaryotic small subunit ribosomal RNA", at positions 569 to 1024 of the family's 1831-position model. Lineage: Eukaryota; Fungi; Glomeromycota. The record is from RNAcentral.
AGCAGCCGCGGUAAUUCCAGCUCCAAUAGCGUAUAUUAAAGUUGUUGCAGUUAAAAAGCUCGUAGUUGAAUUUCGGGAUCAAUAUAACGGUCAUGCCGUUGGUAUGCACUGUUAUAAUUGAUUUCUCACCUUCUAAAGAACCGUAAUGCCAUUAAUUUGGUGUCACGGGGAAUUAGGACUGUUACCUUGAAAAAUUAGAGUGUUUAAAGCAGGCUCACGCUUGAAUACAUUAGCAUGGAAUAAUGAAAUAGGACAUCCGAUUCUAUUUUGUUGGUUUCUAGGAUCGAUGUAAUGAUUAAUAGGGAUAGUUGGGGCAUUAGUAUUCAAUUGUCAGAGGUGAAAUUCUUGGAUUUAUUGAAGACUAACUACUGCGAAAGCAUUUGCCAAGGAUGUUUUCAUUAAUCAAGAACGAAAGUUAGGGGAUCGAAGACGAUCAGAUACCGUCGUAGU